Molecule: long non-coding RNA, 1286 nt
Filed under: Helicoverpa zea (corn earworm)
Lineage: Eukaryota; Metazoa; Arthropoda; Insecta; Lepidoptera; Noctuidae
Description: uncharacterized LOC124630841, transcript variant X1
Source: RNAcentral
GGGGGUCUACUCUAAUUCAACGAAACGAAACUUCGAUAUCGAACGAAAUUCAAACGAAGUUUCGUUAGUGACCCUACUCUAUUUCAUUUUCGGAUGCGCAUACGAAGUUCGGAACCAUAGACAAUUUUCGUGAACGAAUGGAAUCUAUAAUAUUGUGUGGGGCUUUUAUGAUGUCGACUAAACUAAGUUACGGUUUUUACUUUAACUUGAAAUUAUUAAACUUUUCAGCUUUACUUAUUCAUGUAACAUUAUAAAUGUGAUUCAUUACAUAUUUCUUGUAAUAUUCAUGCAAACAAUCUUAACUUUCCGGCAAAAAAUAUUUUUUCAACUACAUUCGACUCGACACUAUAAAAAACCCUUUGACAGUCAUUGCUAACCAACUAAUUUGAAGAGUACUAUUUCAUGCCAAAAAUGGGUAAUCACGUAUGACAACCAAAAAUAGCUGCUUAUUACAAUCUUAUCAAAACAUGUCAACUUACAAUUCUUUGUUUGAAUACUUUGAUAAGUUUUCUGAAGUGUGUUUCUCAAGUGUCGUAUUAAAUAAAUCAUGUUUCCAAGUGCUUUUAUACCAAGGUACGCGUUCCCUAAGGAAGUAUUAUGUCGUACUUUACUACAGUCCGACUUCUACGUAGGUACGUCUGCUGUAUUUUGGUUCGCAACAAGUUUUGUUUUGGAUUUAAAAACUUCGUGAGUAGAUAUCAUAUUAUACAAAUGCAAUAUUUGGUUUCGCUCUAACGCCAUUGCCUUUUCUAAUACUAAUCAUUUAUAUUUUCAGUUUAAAAUGGCUCCACAUAAGGGGUUCGGCAACUCCUCAACAAAUCGAAACCGUUCUCAAUUUCCUGGACGAACAUAGAGAUUAAGCUAGUGGUAGAUUGAAUAGUUGAAUCCAGCCAGGAAGAUAACCUGAGAGUCCAACUGUAAUAGCUGCCUAUGUACCACCACCAUUGACGCAAGAAUGUCUGACUUUCACACCUUCCUCUCGACAUACACACUCAACAAGGAGACGAUCUGCCAGCACAGUGUAAGAAGCAGAUUGUAUCAAUAUGAAGAGGAGGGUGCACAGAGAGAGACGGUGAAAAACGCAGAGCUUGCAGGCAUCAGGGGCGAAUUGGCAGGCAUCAGUGCUACCCUGUUGCAGCUGCAUAACACAAUAAAGGAAUAUGUGGAUAGGAAUUAAGAUUCUGUUAAUGUAUUGUUAGUCAUUAAUUGUGUUUAGUAUUUCUUUGUUAUUAAUUUGUUAUGUUUAAACAGGGUAAUAGUAAAUAAAACUUUAAGUAGGUAUAUAA